CCUACGGGUGGCUGCAGUGAGGAAUAUUGGUCAAUGGGCGUAAGCCUGAACCAGCCAAGUCGCGUGAGGGAUGAAGGUUCUAUGGAUCGUAAACUUCUUUUAUAAAGGAAUAAAGUGAGGCACGUGUGCCUUUUUGUAUGUACUUUAUGAAUAAGGAUCGGCUAACUCCGUGCCAGCAGCCGCGGUAAUACGGAGGAUCCGAGCGUUAUCCGGAUUUAUUGGGUUUAAAGGGAGCGUAGAUGGGUUGUUAAGUCAGUUGUGAAAGUUUGCGGCUCAACCGUAAAAUUGCAAUUGAUACUGGCAGUCUUGAGUACAGUUGAGGUAGGCGGAAUUCGUGGUGUAGCGGUGAAAUGCUUAGAUAUCAUACAGAACACCGAUUGCGAAGGCAGCUUACCAAUCUAUAUCUGACGUUGAGGCACGAAAGCGUGGGGAGCAAACAGGAUUAGAUACCCUAGUAGUC
Molecule: ribosomal RNA, 460 nt
Filed under: uncultured bacterium
Lineage: Bacteria
Description: partial 16S ribosomal RNA
Rfam family: Bacterial small subunit ribosomal RNA
Source: RNAcentral